This 496-nucleotide ribosomal RNA is filed under the name uncultured bacterium. RNAcentral's name for it is "partial 16S ribosomal RNA". It matches the Rfam family "Bacterial small subunit ribosomal RNA", at positions 29 to 507 of the family's 1533-position model. The record is from RNAcentral.
AUGCACGCUGGCGGCGUGCCUAAUACAUGCAAGUCGAGCGAACAGACGAGGAGCUUGCUCCUCUGACGUUAGCGGCGGACGGGUGAGUAACACGUGGAUAACCUACCUAUAAGACUGGGAUAACUUCGGGAAACCGGAGCUAAUACCGGAUAAUAUAUUGAACCGCAUGGUUCAAUAGUGAAAGACGGUUUUGCUGUCACUUAUAGAUGGAUCCGCGCCGCAUUAGCUAGUUGGUAAGGUAACGGCUUACCAAGGCAACGAUGCGUAGCCGACCUGAGAGGGUGAUCGGCCACACUGGAACUGAGACACGGUCCAGACUCCUACGGGAGGCAGCAGUAGGGAAUCUUCCGCAAUGGGCGAAAGCCUGACGGAGCAACGCCGCGUGAGUGAUGAAGGUCUUCGGAUCGUAAAACUCUGUUAUUAGGGGAGAACAAAUGUGUAAGUAACUAUGCACGUCUUGACGGUACCUAAUCAGAAAGCCACGGCUAACUACGUG